UUUCAGUAGGAAACGUAUUGCCCCAGAUUUGAGAGUACAACAUUCAUAUAUUUCUUUCAAAUCAAUAUGAUUCUAAACCUUUGGGUAAAAUACAGUAUACACUUGAGAAACGUUACAAGACUGAAACCAGUCGCUAAAACAUUAAACUUAAAGUCCCACAUGAAACAUAUGACAAAUACAUCAAGUUGUUUGUUUCAACUGUUAACCACCACCAAGCAAACUUUCUUUUGCACGACAAUUAAUGUGGGUUUAUGUGGUUCAAUUGAUGCCAAUGUUCCAAUCACAGCCAGUACUCCAGUCACGCUGCACACCUGCGUUCGACUCCCUGGAUACCAUAUCUUCUUGACUUGCCCAAGCCGACACUGAACCACUGACUUCCUAACCAAUAUAACUUUAAAAUAUUAUAUCUCUAAUGAUUCAAACUAAAACGCUUAUUAAAAGCAACAAUAUUUUCAGACAUACAAACAAAUCAUAUCAGUCAUAAUGAUGGCGCGUCACAGUAUGAAGGAGCGGAUCGAUGCUCUCCUGCCAGCCACUGGUCUGCCUGUAUCAGUCCCGAUUAAAUACAGACUACUGUGGUAUAACUGGAUAUAUACCUGGAGACUAUGGGAUAUAGCUGAAUAAGCGUAAAAGUAGUACAUGUAUAUUUACUGAAAAAGGGUGGAACAACGGAUUAUAUCAUCUGGCGGGCUGGUGGGUAUGGCAGCAUACUGCCUUACAAUUGUAGGUGUUAUUUCACAUUAUCUGGUAUCAUACAUACACUACAUAGAUGGUACUCUACAACAACUACAAUUAACAACAGCAACUAUGCUCAUCCUCCUAAUAUAGAGUUACACAGAGAAAGCAAGCUGACCCCAUGGUGCACAAACAAAGAGAUAGAAUUACUAGACACAGGUAGUAUUAUGUUAUCAUUAGUAAUUACAGAGAUAAAACCAGGCCAGGCCAUACCUGCUGGUGAUUCCUUAAAUUUGAGGUAAUUAGUGUGUUUAUAUACAGAAGGCCAGCCAGACCCGGCACACAAACGAGACAGAAUCCGCCCGAUAAACAAAGGGCUAAAGAAAGCUCCGUGCACCAUGCCCAACUGUGGGGAGUUUUCUCCUUUGACGUCACGCAAUCCAGGGAUUGUCUCAAGCACACUUUCACAAUUUACCUGUUGUUUUAGUUGUAUAUUUUCUACCAGGAAAAGAGUACAAAAACGUGAUAAUAUAAACGAUAAGGGCGAACAAAAUAAAUAAAGGGGAAUCGAAAGAUUCAAAGUUUUAAGAAAACAAAUUAACACGGCUGACUUUUGAGAUGAUCUUUUAUCGUGUCAGGAACAAUGAGUUUACACAAGGUAGAGCUGACACUACAGUACUGGCGUGUCUACCUUGGUGCUAUCUGGUGCCACGGGUUCCUGAUAAAUAAUGGUAAGUCUGCAUAGAUCAGACGUUACGGCCACUCCUGUACUGGUAUACUGCUUCUGUGUCAGGAUACCUACAUUCCUGAUACUAGCUUUUUUAUUUAAUAGCUCAUUAGCACCUUUUAUGAGAAGACGUACCUGGAGAAUCCAAAUGGUCGUCGUCGUUGAUGUUUUGCCGGCAUGAUACUGGGGAACCCCGGCCUUACAAGAAACGGUCCCCAUGUUUAGGGAGCAAACACGUUGCAGAGUCUGUGAAUGUUAUUGUACGCCAAAGUCUGCAGUAUUCUAGCUAUGUGAUGGGGCAAUGCAAAUAUUCUGGGUCAUGCAAGCCUGUGAUUGACAGCAUGAGCAACGACCAACGCUGUCUUCAAAUUGUGUCACGUGAUCAGCCAGGGGACACUUUGCAGCCAUCCACCAUAUUCAGAUCAUCCGUGAGAAAACCGACUUGUGUUUUACUGACUGAACAAGAAAUAUUUUACUCAAGCAUUAGUUAUGAUAUUUCCCAAUGACCCAGACAUGUCCUUUCUGUGUCUAACCUCAAAAAGAAAGAAAUAAUUUGUCCCAAGAAAAUCAGACAGGACAAAGAAAACCUGGCAAUUUUCCAAACAACUUGGGCUAAGAAACAAAACCUCUUAGGGCACACAUACGCAGUAACAGUAUUAAAGUAACAAAGAUCCUUAUAUCUUUAAAUUAUGAUGCUGAAUAUAUUGCAUUAGGUCUGUCUGAAAGUUGGACUAGGUUCACCUGGAAGUUGAAUUCGGUUUGUCUGAAUGUUGAAUCAGUUCUGAAUGUUAACCUGAGUUCACCUGGAUCGACCAGGCAACUGUCUGAAUUUGAUUCCUUGGUCUUUCUAAAUGUUAGACUGGGUAAAUCUGAAUGUUGAAUUAGGUGAAACUGUCUGAAUGUCACUGUGGGUUUGUCUGAAUGUUGUAUCAAGUAAUUAUCUGAAAGUCUGAAUGAAUGGGUUGUCUAAAUCUAAAUGUUGUAUCAGCCGACUGUCUGAAAAUGGGAACCAUGUUACAAGAUAGUAAACUUCCCUGAAAAUGUUCCUCAGAGGUAUCACACACAUGCAAUGGAAGCCAUCUCACGUUUCCCUUCUUUCUGCAGACAUCUCAAUAAAGACAGAAUAAAGUCUCAUGCCUGAUACUGUAUCAAGGUAAUUGGCCGUUCCUCCAGGAGAUCUGGCUACGAUCAGCUAGCUACUGUUCCAUGCAGUUUGUAAUUACAAGACUAAAUCCAGCCCCGUGGGUCAACAGAGCUCCAAGGUGCGUACGCCAAACACACCAAAUCAAACACACACGUGCCGGAAUGUUCAUGUUCAUCGUGAAGUAUAUCGCUCAAAACAAGUUAAGGAACACCUGAUUCUUUCAUAUUACCCAAGUUAAUCUGUCAUGCCAUUACACAGCAAAUGACAGAAGACAACCAGAGACACAGAAAUACGAGUGUGUAUUUGUACAGCAAGGAAGGUGUUGAAAUUUCAUUCCAUGAAGAACCAAACUGGUAAAGUUUUGUACAUAGUGUACUGAGGCGGUCACACAGUAAAGGGAAGAUAACUCUUAUGGAUGGCUAAAACCUAAAUUUCAAAUGAGCAAUGGGGAAAAUAGCACUGACCUCCAAAAUUCAAAUGACACAAACAGAAACACAUUUUUGUUGCAUUAUUGUCAUUGCAUGAUGAAACUAAAAACAGGGAAAGUCCACAGUUUGUUGUAGACAUUGCUCCAUAAUGAUUGUCUUCAGGUUAUACAGUAACAGUAUAUUACUUCUUCAUACUUGACACUAUUUGGUGUACAAGAACUGUGAACAGUGUCUCAGCAAUGAAAUAUUAAUCUGAUUACAUUAAUUCAUUUUUCAUUAUUCAUUUGGGCAAGGUAUGAAGAGUUAAAUAUUUUUCUGUAAUUGCAUCAUAACUGUAUGGGUUCUGAUUGGCUGAAUGGCAUUUCCUGUUAUUUGCAAGUCAGAAACAAAAUGGAAGCAGCACAAACCACAAACUAAAUUUCUAUUCAAAUAGAAUUCAGGAUAGACUUUCUGUUUGUUCCAAAUUCUGGGAGGUCAAAUGAUGAAAUAUAUUGACACAUUUCUAAUUUGAUUAUCAUUUUUCCUCAAAAUAUUAAGUAAACAUUUUAAUUAUUACUUCAAAUUAUUUAUUUAUAUCGAUGACACAGUAAUUUGUUUUAAAUAUUUCUACCUUACGCUGACGAAAAGAAUGAAAAAUGAAUUUCUCUUUCACCUUCCAUUUUUUUCAAAUCAGCAUGUUCCAAACAAAGUUUAGAAAACUAACCCUCUCAUCACACCAAAUUCACUCUCACCUUGUCAUGGGGGUUGCCAUGCUUUAACAGUUUCGGAGCUGCAAAAAGUUCCAGAGGUACCCUGCACAGAACAGGAGAUAUGUUUUACUGGUGAUGCCUGCGGCGAUGACACUGAUAAAUGGUACAUCUUCGUAUGUAUCAUCUGCUUCCUAACACCAACAGUUGUCAUCCAAUCAACUUCUCACACUUUCUUUGCCUUUUUCUUCCCUUGUAACCAGCUAUGAUGUGUGUGGGCACUGUAAGACUUUACCAGUCCGACUCAUCCAUUGCAAACUGCAUCUAUUCCAAUUACAUAUUUUUGUUCCCCUGAUGAUUUAUAAACAUAUCCUUGACAUACCAUUUAUCAACAUGUCACAAAACAACAAACUUUGAAGGUCAGCUUACUGGCACCAAUACAAAGAUAUAUUUAUUAACAUAAUAUAUGGAAAUGUUUAUUCACUGUCAUAGUUGUGGUCAGUCAUAUGGUUGUAUAUAUUCUACUCAAAACAAAUCCAAGACCAACCAUAGCAGGAAGGUUCCACAAUAGAUUAAAUAUUCUUGUAUAAAGAGACUGGAUAUUCUUUAACUUAUUUUGAGUGGGGUAGGUAGAAAGCCAUCUUAGUGCUAUGGUUACAGUAUUACCAUGUUAAAGUAAGGAAGUUCAGAUCAUAUUAGAGCUAAGAGCUUGUUUGG
Molecule: long non-coding RNA, 4377 nt
Filed under: Haliotis rubra (blacklip abalone)
Lineage: Eukaryota; Metazoa; Mollusca; Gastropoda; Lepetellida; Haliotidae
Description: uncharacterized LOC124274369
Source: RNAcentral